UGUAGGUGGGUCAUCACUUUUUGUCGGUCUCUUCCUGGUGGUUGGACAUUUCUCUCUCCUUGUUGAAUGUUUCCUGUUCUCUGAAGAAUAUUUACUGUUCCAUCUCCCAAAUGUGGAAAAGGAUCCGUAACUCCCGUCGUUUUCCUGGAGUGAAGCAAUACUUCUACGCCCUGACUGUCCUGUUUAGUGCUAUGGCCUGGGUGUUCAGCGUUAUCCUAGUAACCAGUGUAUUCUGGCGAGUGUGGGAAUUUGACAGCCAGGUCGUUCCCAUUGCCUUCAUUGGCCUUUGGAAGGCUCAGUACUAUCUCAGGUCGAAUGACUCUGGCUUAGUGCGUGAUAUGCUAAUAGACUCAAAUAUCCACAGUGGGUGGACCCAUGCAGUUGAGCUUGAAUAUGCAAAGGAUCUAAUAGUGCUGGUGAAUUUUAUGCAGCCAGUGACCCUGAUAUUCUGCCUAGUGGCCUUUCUGGUCAGCACGUCGAAGCGCACCUACUCAGCUUUUGUACGACUCUAUUCCAGAAGCUCAGCCCUCCUUCUUUUACUCAACUCUGUCUUUGUGGCUGUGGCUGUGGGCUGGAACUACAUCAUGGACAUUUCUGGCCAAAGCACCCUUGAUUUCCCACUAGAGAUUCCUGUUAACAAAGAGGAUGUGAUCAAAAAACACUUAUCCCAUGUGUUCCCACUGGGGAUUGUCACUGCUGCUCUGUCCCUCCUCAAUGCCAUCCUAUGCUUUUGGACCAUGACCUUCCUAAGGGCCAAGUCAGUAAAAGUGUGAGAUGUUUAUUAAAUCUCAUAGGAAAGCAUGGGACUGAGGGCUGAGAUAUAUGGGAAGUCCUGAGUGCAGGGUGCUUGAAAAAAUUACUAUGCAGGUGUGUACUUGGAGUGUUCAUGUCCUCACUGCAAAUAAAAUCUGUGCUUUGGUUUGUCAGCUUGUGUCUCAAGCUCCUGAGCUCGGUUCCAUCAAUGCAUCUCUCCCUUGAAGGGUUUCAUUUCCGGAAGUCAGCCUCCCAGCACUUCCGGUUCAGGUGCUGCCAAAAUCCACAGUUAGGGAAGUGUGCUGGCUGGAAUGUACCAGCUCACGUCAGCAAGGACCAACUCCAGGCUGGUCCCAGGUAUGGAAAACAGUUGUCAUAUACACAUGGAAAAUACUCAUUCUCAU
Molecule: long non-coding RNA, 1157 nt
Filed under: Cavia porcellus (domestic guinea pig)
Lineage: Eukaryota; Metazoa; Chordata; Mammalia; Rodentia; Caviidae
Description: lncRNA (ENSCPOG00000033429.1)
Source: RNAcentral